GAUGAACGCUGGCGGCGUGCCUAAUACAUGCAAGUCGAACGCUGGAAAUCUAGCUUGCUAGAUUGAAGGAGUGGCGAACGGGUGAGUAAUACAUAAGCAACCUACCCACGAAGACUGGGAUAAUCUCUGGAAACGGGGACUAAUACCGGAUAGGUAAUCGGAAGGCAUCUUCUGAUUAUUAAAGGUUAAAAACACUGGUGGAUGGGCUUAUGGCGCAUUAGUUAGUUGGUGAGGUAACGGCCCACCAAGACGAUGAUGCGUAGCCGGCCUGAGAGGGUGAACGGCCACAUUGGGACUGAGACACGGCCCAGACUCCUACGGGAGGCAGCAGUAGGGAAGUUUCGGCAAUGGGGGAAACCCUGACCGAGCAACGCCGCGUGAGUGAUGACGGCCUUCGGGGUGUAAAGCUCUGUUGUAAGGGAAGAACGGUAGAUAGAGAAUAUCUAAAUGACGGUACCUUACCAGAAAGCCACGGCUAACUACGUG
Molecule: ribosomal RNA, 486 nt
Filed under: uncultured bacterium
Lineage: Bacteria
Description: partial 16S ribosomal RNA
Rfam family: Bacterial small subunit ribosomal RNA
Source: RNAcentral